GCACCCGCGGUAAUUCCAGCUCCAAUAGCGUAUAUUAAAGUUGUUGCAGUUAGAACGCUCGUAGUCGGAUUUCGGGGCGGGCCGACCGGUCUGCCGAUGGGUACGCACUGGCCGGCGCGUCCUUCCUUCCGGAGACCGUGCCUACUCUUAACUGAGCGGGGGCGGGAGACGGAUCGUUUACUUUGAAAAAAUCAGAGUGUUUCAAGCAGGCAGCUCGCUCUUGCAUGGAUUAGCAUGGGAUAAUGAAAUAGGACUUUGGUGCUAUUUUGUUGGUUUCGAACACCGAAGUAAUGAUUAAAAGGGACAGUCAGGGGCACUCGUAUUCCGCCGAGAGAGGUGAAAUUCUCAGACCAGCGGAAGACGAACCACUGCGAAAGCAUUUGCCAGGGAUGUUUUCAUUGAUCAAGAACGAAAGU
Molecule: ribosomal RNA, 416 nt
Filed under: uncultured eukaryote
Lineage: Eukaryota
Description: SSU rRNA
Rfam family: Eukaryotic small subunit ribosomal RNA
Source: RNAcentral